AAACGUAUUACGUAAACAGUCGUUAUUAUAAUUAGAGUAAGUACUAACUACUAGGUUAUUGUUGUGACAAGCAAAUAUUUAUAAUAUAUACGAAUAAGUGUGUGGUUAACAGUGAAUGCAUAAUGAACAGGCAAUGUAACACCACGGCCGGUUAUUUGUAAGGUAAAAGUAUUUGCAAAAACGAAGAAGUGGAAAAAAACAAGAUACAUAGACCGUCUGGGCAGUCAGAGUUGUUUACAAUAUUUGAGCGUCGACAGUUCCCGCCGUUUUUCGCACAGGUUUACAUAUUAUAUUGUUUCCACGGUAAAAAAUAAAAUGCACAAACCUUGCGCCAUGUCGUCUGUCGUGUUCGACGAAUCCGGUGUACUCAUAGGCCUUUGAAAAUGAUGGUCGGUCUUAUGAUAUUUUGUUAUUUUAUUGUUGCUGGACGGUCUUGCUCCGAGCGGUCUGCGGCGGGUCGUCUACGGUUUUAUUAACACGGUUUAGCCGCUGUUGUGGCGCGGUACAGAUAGUAGCGGCGAGAUAUCCGGUGAAAAAAGUGGGAAAGCAUGUAAACACAAGGUGAAAAAAAUUUAACUGACGAAACCGGAAAAGCGUUGACGUGCACCGCCGUUCCCGUUGGCGUGAGAUCUGGCUCGGUCGCCGUGUGCAGAUGUCCUGGAUUCAGGAAUCCGUUAAAUUUUCAAACGGCAAAAUAAUAAUCGGUUAUCUCCCCGUCCCCACUAGGGCGGUCGCCCGACGCGUACGCCACAAGUCACACGAACGCGCGCCGAUUUAACGGAACCGUCAGUGUGGCCAACCGCUGCGCAUCUGCGAGCCCCGAUAACGAAUGCGCGCCGAAAAUCAGAGAUAACGCCAGAUAACUGAUAAGAGAUAACAAACGGCAUUCUGCCCGGUGGCCGUUUGGGAUUUGGGCAUUGAUUAAAUACAAUAUAUUAUUAUAUUAUAAUAUAAUCUUUAACUUAUUAAUUGAAACAAUUCGUAAAUUGUAAUACCUAUUACUUGUGUUUAUAUUUGCCCUUUAUUUUUGUUCCGACGUCACAUUACUAGUUACUAGUCGUUUUCACCAAAAUACUGUAAAUGUUUCAAUAACUUCUGAAGAAUUGGAAGAAGGUAUUGACGUACCAGAAUGCAGUUAUGUCAUCAGGUAUGAGAUGAGUAACUAUCCUUCUUAUGUAACAUCAAAAUCGAGCGGAAUGGUGAAGUGUUUCGUUCAAAACAAAAAAAGCAAAAAAAAAGUGCCGCGUUCAACUUCCAACAACCAUUAAAAACAAACCUAUAUUUAAAGAUCUGAAUUGGUUUCCACUUUGGGUAGAGAAUGCUGUAGAAGUGUUGCCGACUAUAAAUCAGGAACUAAUAAAAUGAAAAGAAUUGUUAACAUUUAUUCCAUCAUAUUUGAAUAAUGUGUAUCCACAACCAAAUAAAACAUCAUAUAGAUACAAUUUUGAUGGGUUAUUAAGGUGUCAGAUGAACAUUUUCGAAUAAUAACUUCAAAGAAAUUGCCAUCUAGUUACCUUGUCACAGAUGUUCAUAAAGAUGAUAUGUCACCUGAAAGCAUAUUUCCUUCAAGUAAUUAUGAUUCAUAUCAGGAUUAUUUCGAAGACAAGUACACCAUCAGAGUAACAAAUAAAGACCAACCAUUAAUUCAAAAUAUCUACUGGUAAAGUAGAUAAACAGACUGAAUACAUUGAAAGACUAAUUCCAGAAUUUUGCAUGUGGCAUGAGUUUCCUUUAAGAGUUUAUUGGUUUAAAGCUUUAAUGUACAACGAACCAUAUUUUACCGAAAUAAACAAUUAUUAUUGGCCGAAGAUCUUCUUUUAAAAAUCAACCAAACGCGCGUCUUUGAAUUUUCAAAGGAUUAAAAACUUAAGCAUUUUGCCAAAACAAAUUAUGUGAUCUGUAAAAUAAUAAUAUACCUUUUUAAUAUUGUUAAA
Adelges cooleyi (spruce gall adelgid) is the source of this 1934-nucleotide long non-coding RNA. RefSeq lists it as uncharacterized. The record is from RefSeq and is a predicted model, not a curated record. NCBI's taxonomy places the organism in Eukaryota, Metazoa, Arthropoda, Insecta, Hemiptera, Adelgidae. The transcript is spliced from 6 exons.